GAUUGAGCCCAGGAGUUGGAGGCUGCACUGAGCUUUGAUGGCACCACUCUACUCCAGCCUGGGUAAGAAAGACCUUGUCUCUUAAUAAAAAAAGAUUGAUUCUAGGACUGUAGAAUAGAUGAACAGCAUGGGAUAUGAGGGAAAUCCUCAGCAGUAUUAAUUUUGCAUUCCAAUUUCAGGUUGACGGCACUUUGUUGGCUAUCGAUGGCUUUUUGUUUUAAAGGCUUUUAUCUUGAGAACAUGAUGUCUGGAGUUAAAGCUCUUUAGAGGAUCUGAAGUGACCUUGAUGGACAGUGGAAGAAAUCACAACAUGGAAUUCCUUGAAUAAAAAUGUAUUGACUUUAAAUAA
Non-coding RNA from Chlorocebus sabaeus (green monkey), 349 nucleotides. The record is from RefSeq and is a predicted model, not a curated record. NCBI's taxonomy places the organism in Eukaryota, Metazoa, Chordata, Mammalia, Primates, Cercopithecidae.